AAAACAUCGCCUCCUGCAAUAUAAUUAUGUAUAAGAGGUCCAGCCUGCCCAGUGACCAUAAGUUCAACGGCCGCGGUAUUUUGACCGUGCAAAGGUAGCGCAAUCACUUGUCUUUUAAAUAAAGACCUGUAUGAAUGGCCAAACGAGGGCUUAACUGUCUCCCUUUUCAAGUCAGUGAAAUUGAUCUAUCCGUGCAGAAGCGGGUAUAAUACUACAAGACGAGAAGACCCUUUGGAGCUUAAGGCAUAAAACUCAACCACGUUAAGCAACUCAACAAAAAGUAACUUUUAUUUAAACCUUGUGGUAGAUGAGACCACUGCCUUCGGUUGGGGCGACCACGGAGGAAAAGAAAGCCUCCAAGUAGAACUGAGGUAUUACCUUAAAGCUAAGAAAGACAUCUCUAAGCCACAAAACAUUUGACUAUAAAUGAUCCGGCUAACCAUGACCGAUCAACGAACCAAGUUACCCUAGGGAUAACAGCGCAAUCCUCUCCUAAAUCCAUAUCGACGAGAGGGUUUACGACCUCGAUGUUGGAUCAGGACAUCCUAAUGGUGCAGCCGCUAUUAAGGGUUCGUUUGUUCAACGAUUAAAGUCCUACGUGA
Molecule: ribosomal RNA, 602 nt
Filed under: Enteromius macinensis
Lineage: Eukaryota; Metazoa; Chordata; Actinopteri; Cypriniformes; Cyprinidae
Description: partial 16S ribosomal RNA
Rfam family: Bacterial large subunit ribosomal RNA
Source: RNAcentral